RNAcentral lists this ribosomal RNA (520 nucleotides) under uncultured Glomus. RNAcentral describes it as "SSU rRNA". It matches the Rfam family "Eukaryotic small subunit ribosomal RNA", at positions 569 to 1093 of the family's 1831-position model. The record is from RNAcentral. Lineage: Eukaryota; Fungi; Glomeromycota; Glomeromycetes; Glomerales; Glomeraceae.
AGCAGCCGCGGUAAUUCCAGCUCCAAUAGCGUAUAUUAAAGUUGUUGCAGUUAAAAAGCUCGUAGUUGAAUUUCGGGAUCAAUAUAUCGGUCGUGCCUUGGUACGUACUAGUAUCAUUGGUUUCUCCUUUCUGACGAACCAUGAUGUCAUUAAUUUGGUGUUAUGGGAAGUUAGGACUGUUACUUUGAAAAAAUUAGAGUGUUUAAAGCAGGCUUUAGCUUGAAUACAUUAGCAUGGAAUAAUGAAAUAGGACGUUCGAACCUAUUUUGUUGGUUUCUAGGAUCAACGUAAUGAUUAAUAGGGAUAGUUGGGGGCAUUAGUAUUCAAUUGUCAGAGGUGAAAUUCUUGGAUUUAUUGAAGACUAACUACUGCGAAAGCAUUUGCCAAGGAUGUUUUCAUUAAUCAAGAACGAAAGUUAGGGGAUCGAAGACGAUCAGAUACCGUCGUAGUCUUAACCAUAAACUAUGCCGACUAGGGAUCGGAUGAUGUAAUUUUUAAUGACUCAUUCGGCGCCUUACGG